AUGGAUCCCCUUCCCAUACACACAAUCAUCUGCCUUGUUUGUUGGUCAUUUUGGUUAUUCCCAUUGUGUGCAUCAUCCAGCAGCCGCCUUCUUCCCGACAAGCCGCUUUCUGCUGGAAGCACCAUCACCUCCGACGACGGCACUUUCGCCCUGGGAUUCUUCUCCCCGUCCAGCUCCGGCAAAAAACAUUACUACGUCGGAAUAUGGUACAAGAACAUACCCAAAGACAAUGUUGUGUGGGUUGCCAACCGUGCUAUGCCAAUCGCUAAUCCUUCUUCUGCAACACUGGCCUUCACAAACGGAUCCAAUCUGGCCCUGUCAGACACCAACGGCCAGCUUCUCUGGAUGUCAGAUAUCAGCGCCGCAGGAAAUUCAUCGUCAGAGGCAACUGGUGGAGAAGCCACGCUUGAUAACAAUGGGAAUUUUAUCCUUCGGUCAUCACAGGGCAUCAUCUUAUGGCAAAGCUUCGAUUACCCGACCGACACUCUCCUUCCAGGUAUGAACCUCAGGAUCACCCACAAGACGCAUGCACUACAACAGCUCGUCUCUUGGAGAAACACCCAAGACCCAUCCACGCGCAACUUCUCAUAUGGUGCACACCCUGAUGAGUUUCUGCGGCGUUUUUCAUGGAAUGGUUCGACACCAUACUGGCAAAGUCCAGAGUGGAAUAACUAUUUGUUAGUAGGGCGGUACGUCGAGAGUGUCAGAUCCACAAUUCACUUCACACUGAAUACUAUUGAUGAUGAGGCGUACAUUUCCUUUGGACUACCAGAACCAAGUGUCUCCUUAGUGCUACUGAAGAUGGACUACUCAGGCAAGAUGAAGUUACGAACCUGGAAUAGCAACAUGUCCAAAUGGACUGACCUGCGUGUUGGAAAUAUGCCCUAG
RNAcentral lists this ribosomal RNA (888 nucleotides) under Triticum aestivum (bread wheat). RNAcentral's name for it is "partial small subunit ribosomal RNA". The record is from RNAcentral. Lineage: Eukaryota; Viridiplantae; Streptophyta; Magnoliopsida; Poales; Poaceae.